This 497-nucleotide ribosomal RNA is filed under the name uncultured bacterium. RNAcentral's name for it is "partial 16S ribosomal RNA". It matches the Rfam family "Bacterial small subunit ribosomal RNA", at positions 28 to 507 of the family's 1533-position model. The record is from RNAcentral.
GAUGAACGCUGGCGGCGUGCCUAAUACAUGCAAGUCGAGCGAACGGACGAGAAGCUUGCUUUUCUGAUGUUAGCGGCGGACGGGUGAGUAACACGUGGAUAACCUACUUAUAAGACUGGGAUAACUUCGGGAAACCGGAGCUAAUACCGGAUAAUAUUUUGAACCGCAUGGUUCAAAAGUGAAAGACGGUCUUGCUGUCACUUAUAGAUGGAUCCGCGCUGCAUUAGCUAGUUGGUAAGGUAACGGCUUACCAAGGCAACGAUGCAUAGCCGACCUGAUAGGGUGAUCGGCCACACUGGAACUGAGACACGGUCCAGAGUCCUACGGGAGGCAGCAGUAGGGAAUCUUCCGCAAUGGGCGAAAGCCUGACGGAGCAACGCCGCGUGAGUGAUGAAGGUCUUCGGAUCGUAAAGCUCUGUUAUUAGGGAAGAACAUAUGUGUAAGUAGCUGUGCACAUCUUGACGGUACCUAAUCAGAAAGCCACGGCUAACUACGUG